Molecule: non-coding RNA, 57 nt
Filed under: unclassified sequences
Source: RNAcentral
UGCGUUGAACCUUUAGCUAGGUCGCAAGUAACCCCAGAGGGGGCGAAGCAACGGGAA